CAUCACGGAGUCCUCCAGGAGGCCCCAGCAUUUAAUCACCGUGUGGUCACCAGACACAUUGGUCCUUUGCUUUCCCGAAAGUCUCCUGUGACCUGAGUCCCCAGCAUCGCUGCUUCUUCCUGGCACACGUGUGGUGAGCAGGCUCCCCUCUGACGAGCCGUGUCUGUCUGUCUGUCUGUGCAGCUGAUCCCCACCCCCUUGGCUCUCUGACCUUUGACAUCGAUGGUCUGCAUGGAACAGUCACUUUUUCUUCUCAGUUUGAUCCAGGAAACAAAACGUGCUUCAAAUUGGACAGACUUGGGUCUAAGUCCCAUCAGGGGGUGAGUUUGGAUGUGGCCAACUCCUCAGACAUCCACUGAGUGGCCUCCACGUCCCAAGCCCCAACUCAGGUGUCCUCCUGGGGCAGAGUGAGGGCAGCCGGUUCUCCCUGGGACCCCUCCCUGCCCAUCCGUGGAAGCACCUGGAACUCGCAGGCACUGCCCCGCGGUUGGGGGCCGUCAGAGGCAGGGCUCGGCUAAGCGGGUCUGGGGCGGGCUGCUCAGCACCUACCCCCAUCCCCUGAAUUUCUGCCUUGCUGUCUGCCUCCGGGGGAUGCAGGCCUGCCAGCAGGGCAAGGAGCCACCCAGCCACACUCCCCGUUCCCCACCCACCGGUUCCUGCCACGUUUACCAAGAUGCGCCCUCCCCCAGGAUCCUACAAGACCAAGUUGCUGAUCAGUUUAUGUUCUGGUUUUCCUUUUGGCAGCAUGAGGCCCCAGCCUUCCAGGGCUGUCUGGAGAGAAACAUGCUAACGCUGGGAAGAAGUCACUUCGGGGCAGUGCGGGGAUGGCGGCGACCCAGCGAUCCAGGACCUGGGCAGCAGAGGUCCUGGCCCCAAGACCUCCAACAAGCCCUUCCUGCUCUGCGGUUCCGGAAUGAAAGUGCCACGCGAUGGACUUAAAGGCGUUCCAUUCACAAGGCCAGACGUCUGAGCAGCCAAAGAGGCCCAGCCUGGUGCCGACCGUUCUGAGCUCCUGCAGGCCUGACCUCGACGUGCUGCGUGACCCGGGUUCCAACGGGGCGCCAAGGAUCUGCCACGCUGUCCAGAGGCUUUGAAGCGGCAAGAACGUUUGCAGCUCAUGCAGCGGCUCCCCAUUCCCCUCAGGAGUCUGGUCCAGCCCUACCCCAGGACCCGCCAGCCCCCUCCAGCUCACAUCCGGCCUCGUUGGCCACUUUUCUCUUACAAGUCUCUCCAAAGGAGGCUGGGGAAAGGGAGAUACAGGGAAACGCAGUGACACAGCUACCUUCUGACAGGCUUAAAAAGAUGGUUGGGUGAAAAGUCUAAAAUGAAGGGCUGAAAAAAUUUUAUCUCGGCGCAAGUGGUCUUCGAUGAACCAAGUCGUGACUGGACCCUGGAAGGGGGCUCCGUGCCUUUCUGGGGGCGGCCCCGCCUGGACGAGAGAACCACAACUUCUCCAGGGGGUAGAAAUCGGCCGGUGACUGCACAGCCUGGGCUCUAACCAGUGACCAGCAACGUGGAACAGCUGUACGCUAAGAGGCCAGAGCUCAGCUCAGCUAAGGGCAGAGUGAAAAACCCUCAGAACCCACCCUCAUUCAGCCGUGCAGAAUUCUGCGCACCUGCCUCCCUGGUGACACGUGUGCUGGUGGUGGCCCUACUGUGUCCCCGCUGCAUCGCUCUCCACCCAGAAACCCUCCCGCUGGCUGCAGUCCGAGAGGGACACGGAGCAAGCCUGUGGGGACCUGCUGGUGCCUGGUCGCUUCUCCCAGACGUGGAUCUUCAGUCGCCUAGAACUGCUGUCAGGCUGGAGGGUUCAGCUAGUGCCGAUAAACCAAAUAAAUCAUUUGGGGGCUAAGGAUUCUGCACCCAGUUCCAACAUGGAUUUUUUUCCCCACACCCAGCCAUUCUCUGUGACCCCAGCUGGGUGUCGUCCAAUUCGACUCAAUUCUGACCCUGUCUCCCUGGAGAUGGCAUCAGAUCCCACAGGCUACGGGCUGUGUGCACCUGCUGUGCUUCGAGCCCGCUGGCUCUUCAUCCCAUUUCUAACCUGUGCACAGGGGACUCUCCUUUCUGGGGGAGUCAUUGACUCGUGUGUGCAUGUGUGUCUGUGCCUGUGUGUGUCUGUACAUGUGUGUGUGCGCACGAGCUUCCCUCCCGGAGGUUGCUCUUGCUUUGCCCACUUAGUUUAACACAGUAGUUUUAGCACGGCCUCUCAUGUAUGAGUUGAGCCUCAAGCUGGGAUGAAGCGAGCAGAGGCUCAGAACUCAGAGGUCCCUCAUGUAGCAGAAGCGCAGGGCUGCCUGGGGUGUGACUAGGAGGUGAGUGUGGAAGGGUAACAGGAGGGACUGUCAGGAAGGUUCUCAGAUGCUGAGCUGAGGGGCACGGCUUUUGCUAUGGAGGGAAAACAAAAUGUCACACAGAGAGCGAAUCAUCACCUCUCUUACCGGUUUUGUGUAGCCCGAGUUUUAUAUAUGACCCUCUGUAGAGGCAGACAGAAAUAGCCAUUCUUCCCUUCUCUCAAAAUAACAAAAUCCGCAUUCCUGCCCAACCAAAAGGCAUUCCAGCUUCUCCUGCAGCUACAGAGGUCACAUACGGAUGUUCUAGGUAACGUGAUGCAAUCAGACCCGCCCAAGGCACUCGCAGGAAAUCGCUUUCCUUGAAGUCAGAGUUCUCUCUUCCUAGAUGUCGGCUGAAGUGGCUCAAGCUUCACUCCCUCCUGGACCAGGAGGAUGGGACAGGUCUGGGCAUGACAGAGCAGAUCCUGACAAACUCAUGGAGCCACAAAUAGCCCUGCACAGCCUCUCCUGCACCUGACUUCUUCAUGCUUCUGGCGUCCUUGGGACCCUGCACUCACUCAGUGGUCUUAGUGCGGUGCAGCUUCUCUGCCUGUCAGCUCCUACUUACUUUGAACUCAUCUCUUAAAAGAAUUCCUUAGGUUUUAGAAUUGUCAACUGUACCUUUAAAUAUUUUCGGCUUCCUUUAUUCACUUUUAAUUUUUCCUCUACGUGGACAGUCCUGAGAGAAUUGGAUGAGGGAAGGAUGAGUUGUCCUCUGGCACUUUUGGUCAUAUUUUCCCUUAUUUAGAAACAGAGGCUACAGACAGGGGAUGUUAGACUUGGAAGACAUGGCAGAGCUCCUGACUUCACUCUCCACCGCGUUGACAAACACCUCCUGUCCCGUGAGAGCCCUGCCCUUUGCUUCCACUCGCAGCUCCAAUAAAUGCUUCUUUCACAUCACCUGGAAAAAUUUGCUCCAAACGACUUAAGCUGCAACCUCCCAAAGAGUGAAGACUUCAGACAAUCUGCCUUUAGGCUACAAAGCAGAGCAAGUCUCGUCUCUGCUGCCACCACUUCCCAGCCAGGGGGGACGCCUUCUGAAUAUGGCCGGUUAUGCAAGGCCCCAGCCCUUCAGAGCAUCACCUGGCAAAGCUCAGGUAUGGAACUGUGCCCUUGAGCGGCUGCUAUGACAGGUGGGUGGGAGAGGGUGGGAGGAUGCAGGGAAACAGCAGGGAGGGCCUCCGGCCUCCGAGGGGUCAGGAGGAACCCACACAGGUCCCCAAGGCAGCCGCCAUCCUCCCUAGCAAAACCGACGGUGUCCAGAUAAAACCUGCCAUCGAGCUCCAGCUUUCCUUUCACUCCGAGUGAUGUUAAUCAAAACUCACAUGGGCCAAAUUCUCACCAGAUGGACAGCAGCUCUCCCUUCUGUGCCGUCAGGCCUGCCCCUGGCCCUGCCCAGUUAGGCUCAGAUGUUUGAGGCCCGAAAGAAUAAAAGCCGGAGAAUGAGCCCCACUUCCAUAGACUGAGAGCACCGAGCAAAGGGACAGAUUCUUGGUCUCCUGGGGGCAGACAGGCUUGGGAUGGCACAGAUGGGCCCUCAACAGAAGACCCUGCAUGCCCCCAACCCAGGUCGGUCAGGGCCAGACAGCGUUCUCCAUCACCCCAGGGGGAGGCGAGGCGGGUACAGCUCUAGUCCACAGUCAGAAGCAAGGACGAAGCAGCCCAAUGGUCAGUGUUUUAAGAGGUGAAACAGCUGGUCUGCCAUCCUGGAGAUUCAAGAAAGGGCUCCACUGGGUUUACAAGCCCCCACUGAGUCCCCAGGGAGUAACCUGGUGGCUCUUGGGUCCGUGAGGUCAGAGGGCUUCACGAGGCAGGGGUGUGAGGGCUGCAAAGGCAGAGGUAACCCUACCGCCCUUCAAUUCUCAGGGCCAACAACAGGCUUUUCAAACUUCUUCGGUGAAACAGAACACACAGAAAUGUGCACUCAGGGGAAGCGUGCAGCUCAAAGGUUUUCCAGAGUACACCAAUGUUUCUCCAGAUCAAGAAGCAAAAUGCGCCACCCUAUAUUUAGAGAGAGCUGCCACCUUCCCAAAGAGAAAAGCCCACAGAAAAGCGGAUGGCCCAUCUGAAUAUGUGAAUUUCUAGCAACACGGGUGACAUAUUCGGGAGUCUUAUAAUACGUGCCAGUUAACCUGAUAAUGAGAAAUAUUGAAAAAUCACAUUUUAAUGAAGAAAUAUUGUCUUUUUUCUCUCCCAUAUCAUGAAACAAUAUUACUCAGAGUCUUUACAUUUCUCUUUGGUCUCAACGUCUUUUGUCAACUGAUCUGAACAAAGGUACCAAGAAUACACAAUGGGGAAAAGAUAGUCUCUUCAAUAAAUGGUGUUGGGAAAACUGCAUGUCAACAUAAAAAAGAAUGAAAUUGCAAUUUUAUCUUACACCAGACACAAAAAUUAACUCAAAAUGGAUUAACAACUUAAAUGUAAGACCUGAAACCAUAAAACUCUAAGAAGAAACGUAGGGGAAAAGUACCUCAGCAUCAGUCUUGGCAAUGAUUUCUUUGAUACAACACCCAAAGCACAGGCAACAAAAGCAAAAAUGGACAAGUGGGAAACAACAAACUGAAAAGCUGCUGCAAAGGGGAAAAAAUCAACAAAAUGAAAGGCGACUGACAGAAUGGGAGAAAAUAUUUGCACACCAUAUAUUUGACAAAGGGUUAAUAUCCAAUGUAUAUAGGGAACUCCCAAAACUCAGCAACAUAAAAUCCUCAAAUAACCAGAUGUUUUUAAAGCUCAGGGUAUGGAACUGUGCCCUUGAGCAUAUAGAUGGCCAACAGGCGUAUGAAAAGAUGCUCGACAUCACUAAUCACCAGGGAAACACAAAGCAAAACCAUAGAAACGUAUCACCUCACACCUGUCAGAAUGGCUAUGAUCAAAAGGACAAGAAUAGCAAGUGCACUGAGGGGGGACUUGCGGGGAAGGGAACCCUCGUGCACUACCGGGGGGAAUAUAAAUUGGUGCAGACGCUGUGGAAAGCAGCAUGGAGAGUCCUCAAAAAAGUUUAAAAUAGAGCUACCAUACGAUCAGCAAUCCCACUUCUGGGUAUGUAUCCAAAAAAUUGAAAUUAGGAUCUCAGGUAUCUCUGCUCGCAUGUUUACGGCAGCGUUAUUCACAAUAUCCAAGGCAUGGAAGCAACCUAAGUGUCCACUGAUGAAUAAACGGAUUAAGAAAAGUAUAUGAUUCAUAUACAUACAUUUAGUUGAAUAUUAUUCAGCCUUAAAAAGGAAGAAGAUCCUGCCAUAUGUGACAGCACGGGUGAACCCGGAGAACAUGAUACUAAGUGAAGUAAGUCGAACACAGGAGGACAGACACUGCGUGAUCAUGGAAUCGAAAAAAGUCAGACUCACAGAAGCAGAGAGUAGAAGGGUGAUUGCCAGGGCCCGGGGGGAGGGGAGGACGAGGAGGUAUUAUCACAGGGUACAAAGUUUCAGUUACACAAAAUGAGUAUAUUCUAGAGAUAUAUUGUCCAGCCCAGCGCCCCUAGUUUGUAACACUGUAUCGUAUAGUUAAACAUUUGCUAAGAGGGUAGGUCUCAUGUUAAGUGUUCUUAUCAUAUAUAUACGCACACAAAGAAUAAUAAUAAUAAAGAGGGCAGCAGGAACCUUUUGUAGGUGAUGGAUGUGUUUAUGGCAUAGAUCAAGGUGAUAGUUUCACAGGUGCAUACUUAUGUCCAAACUCACCAAGUUUUAUAUGUUAAAUACAAAUAGAUUUUUGUAUGUCAGUCAUAACUCAAUGAAGUGUUUUUUUUUAAAGUCUGUUUAUUACAGCAAAAUAAAUAAAUAAAUAAAUGUUACCCGUGC
Delphinapterus leucas (beluga whale) is the source of this 6130-nucleotide long non-coding RNA. RefSeq lists it as uncharacterized. Lineage: Eukaryota; Metazoa; Chordata; Mammalia; Artiodactyla; Monodontidae. The record is from RefSeq and is a predicted model, not a curated record.